This 540-nucleotide long non-coding RNA is filed under the name Rattus norvegicus (Norway rat). Its description in RNAcentral is "long non-coding RNA NONRATT005521". Lineage: Eukaryota; Metazoa; Chordata; Mammalia; Rodentia; Muridae. The record is from RNAcentral.
CGGCCGCGGAGGAGCCGCCGCCGGCGGACACCCCCGUGAGUACCAGGGCCUGGUGAAGCACACAGGAGGCUGCCACUGUGGAGCAGUUCGUUUUGAAGUUUGGGCUUCGGCAGACUUACACAUCUUUGACUGCAACUGUAGCAUUUGCAAGAAGAAGCAGAAUAGACACUUCAUUGUUCCAGCUUCUCGCUUCAAACUCCUGAAGGUAUCGCACCCCACUGCCUGGAUGAAGGCACUGUGCGCAGCGUGGUCACCGAGGAAUUCAACGGCAGUGACUGGGAGCGAGCUAUAAAGGAGCACAAGACCAUCAAGAACAUGUCUAAGGAGUGAGCAGGGCAGUAGCCCUGUGGGUUGCAUGGGUGUGUGUCGCUGUGCAGGCCUGGGCUGCCAUCUCCACUCCCCAUGUCCCUGCAGUUCGCUCCAGCCACCAUUUCUUUAGGCAGCUCUGCCCCUAACCCAGGUUUCAUGUAAACAGUUAACCUUCUCCCUUCCUACCAACUUUUAUGUGAUCUUUUAGAAAAUAAACAUUUCUGACAUUAA